GACGAACGCUGGCGGCGUGCUUAACACAUGCAAGUCGAACGGAAAGGCCCUGCUUUUGUGGGGUGCUCGAGUGGCGAACGGGUGAGUAACACGUGAGUAACCUGCCCUUGACUUUGGGAUAACUUCAGGAAACUGGGGCUAAUACCGGAUAGGAGCUCCUGCUGCAUGGUGGGGGUUGGAAAGUUUCGACGGUUGGGGAUGGACUCGCGGCUUAUCAGCUUGUUGGUGGGGUAGUGGCUUACCAAGGCUUUGACGGGUAGCCGGCCUGAGAGGGUGACCGGCCACAUUGGGACUGAGAUACGGCCCAGACUCCUACGGGAGGCAGCAGUGGGGAAUAUUGCACAAUGGGCGGAAGCCUGAUGCAGCAACGCCGCGUGCGGGAUGACGGCCUUCGGGUUGUAAGCCGCUUUCGCCUGUGACGAAGCGUGAGUGACGGUAAUGGGUAAAGAAGCACCGGCUAACUACGUG
Molecule: ribosomal RNA, 468 nt
Filed under: uncultured bacterium
Lineage: Bacteria
Description: partial 16S ribosomal RNA
Rfam family: Bacterial small subunit ribosomal RNA
Source: RNAcentral